UACGUAGGGUCCGAGCGUUGUCCGGAAUUAUUGGGCGUAAAGGGCUCGUAGGCGGUUCGUCACGUCGGGAGUGAAAACUCGGGGCUUAACCCCGGGCCUGCAGUGGGUACGGGCAGACUAGAGUGCGGUAGGGGAGACUGGAAUUCCUGGUGUAGCGGUGAAAUGCGCAGAUAUCAGGAGGAACACCAAUAGCGAAGGCAGCUCGCUGGGACGUUACUGACACUGAGGCGCGAAAGCGUGGGGAGCGAACAGG
This 253-nucleotide ribosomal RNA is filed under the name uncultured bacterium. Its description in RNAcentral is "partial 16S ribosomal RNA". It matches the Rfam family "Bacterial small subunit ribosomal RNA", at positions 524 to 776 of the family's 1533-position model. The record is from RNAcentral.